Molecule: non-coding RNA, 832 nt
Organism: Equus caballus (horse)
Lineage: Eukaryota; Metazoa; Chordata; Mammalia; Perissodactyla; Equidae
Source: RefSeq, a predicted model, not a curated record
AAAAAUUCUUUUUUUUAAAGUCAAGAGAAGAAUACUAUUUCAUGACGUGAAAAUUAUUUGAAAUUCAGAUCAGUGUCCAUAAAUAGUUCUGUUGGAUCAGUCACCCUGAGUAGUUUGCGUGUUGUCUGUGGCUGCUUUCAUGCUACGUGACAGAGUUGAGUAGUUGUGAAAUAGAGCGUAGUCCAAAAGGCCUAAAAUACUUACUAUCUGGCCUAGAGGGGGCUGUUUGUGUGCCUCCAAAAUUCACAGGUUGGAACCUAAUCCCCAAGGUGACAGUGUUAGAAGGUGGAGCCUUUGGGAGGUGAUGAGGUCACAAGGGUGGAGUCCUCAUGAAUGGGAUUAGUGCCCUUAUAAAGGAGACCCCAGAGAGUUCCCUAGCUCCUUCCUUCCAUCGCAUGAGGUUACAGCUAGAAGGCACGGUCUAGGAAGUGGGCCUUCCCCAGAUCCCAAAUAUGCCAGCACCUUGAUCUCGGACUUCCCAGAACCAUGAGACAUAAAUGUCUGCUGUUCGUAAGCCACCCGGAAGUGACAUGCAGAGGAGACUGGAAGUGUUAUGCUGGCAAAGCUCCCUCUACCUAGAAGGAAACACCAGGAGUUGAGAAGAAGCGUUCCCUCCUGCGCCCCCUGCCCUCAAAGCCACUUUCUCUAAAACAGCCUCUCUAACUCCUCUUCCCUGGGCUGGGCUAAGGACCUUCAUCUGGCCCUCCUGGCACCCUCAGCUUCUCUGCAGUCACCUACUCUUUUGCCCUAUAUGAUCUAUUUCUAUGCCUGUCCUCUCCAUCAGUCUGAGGACUUUCAGAGACCAAGAAGAAUAAAGAGUGGGGGGAAGAAA